Molecule: ribosomal RNA, 414 nt
Filed under: uncultured microorganism
Description: bacterial SSU rRNA
Rfam family: Archaeal small subunit ribosomal RNA
Source: RNAcentral
CAGCCGCCGCGGUAAUACCGGCGGCCCGAGUGGCGGUCACUAUUAUUGGGCUUAAAGCGUCCGUAGCCGGGUUGGGAAGUCCUCCGGGAAAUCUGGCCGCUUAAAGGUCAGAAUGCCGGAGGAUACUCCCAGCCUAGGGGGCGGGAGAGGCCGAGGGGAUUCCCGGGGUAGGGGUGAAAUCCUAUAAUCCCGGGAGGACCACCUGUGGCGAAGGCGCUCGGCUGGAACGCGUCCGACGGUGAGGGACGAAGGCCAGGGGAGCAAACCGGAUUAGAUACCCGGGUAGUCCUGGCUGUAAACGAUGCGGACUUUGUGUCGGACAAGCUAUGAGCUUGUCCGGUGCCGGAGGGAAACCGUUAAGUCCGCCGCCUGGGGAGUACGGCCGCAAGGCUGAAACUUAAAGGAAUUGGCGGG